RNAcentral lists this non-coding RNA (27 nucleotides) under Drosophila erecta. RNAcentral also lists the same sequence under 7 other names. Lineage: Eukaryota; Metazoa; Arthropoda; Insecta; Diptera; Drosophilidae. The record is from RNAcentral.
UUGGACUACAUAUGGUUGAGGGUUGUA